GUGUAAGACGGCAAAAGCCUCAAAUUGUUAGAAAUUGCCACCACGAGGUAAUGUGUAAUGUUGAAGAAAGAUGUUGGGUGCCGGCCGGCAGGGGUGUAAGUCCACUGGAAAGUGGCGCCACAGAGGGUGACAGCCCCGUGAACCCCUUUAACGCCCUCAUCCCAGGAUCUCCAAGAGUCGAGUUGUUUGGGAAUGCAGCUCUAAGUUGGUGGUAAUCCAUCUAAGCUAAUACCGCGAGAGACGAUGCAACAGUACGUGAUGAAGAUAAAGCCUUGAAAGAAGUGAAAGUACGUUAAUGUGAAGGGAAGGCUGCAGCAACCUUACUGGCCACAUCGGGCGGCGGGAGCAAACCACCGGGGAAUGUAUCCUUCCAGGAUUAAUAUCCCCCGGGGCUAUUUCCCUCUUCCACCCCCAGGACCU
RNAcentral lists this ribosomal RNA (420 nucleotides) under Metschnikowia pulcherrima. RNAcentral describes it as "partial large subunit ribosomal RNA". The stretch from base 1 to 261 matches the Rfam family "Eukaryotic large subunit ribosomal RNA", at positions 91 to 358 of the family's 3401-position model. The record is from RNAcentral. Lineage: Eukaryota; Fungi; Ascomycota; Pichiomycetes; Serinales; Metschnikowiaceae.